Molecule: transfer RNA, 74 nt
Filed under: Spirochaetota bacterium
Lineage: Bacteria; Pseudomonadati; Spirochaetota
Description: Spirochaetes bacterium tRNA-Pro
Rfam family: tRNA
About the family: Transfer RNA (tRNA) molecules are approximately 80 nucleotides in length. Their secondary structure includes four short double-helical elements and three loops (D, anti-codon, and T loops). Further hydrogen bonds mediate the characteristic L-shaped molecular structure. tRNAs have two regions of fundamental functional importance: the anti-codon, which is responsible for specific mRNA codon recognition, and the 3' end, to which the tRNAs corresponding amino acid is attached (by aminoacyl-tRNA synthetases). tRNAs cope with the degeneracy of the genetic code in two manners: having more than one tRNA (with a specific anti-codon) for a particular amino acid; and 'wobble' base-pairing, i.e. permitting non-standard base-pairing at the 3rd anti-codon position.
Source: RNAcentral
CGGGCUAUAGCGCAGUUUGGUAGCGCGCGCGGUUCGGGACCGUGAGGUCGUGAGUUCAAAUCUCACUAGCCCGA